GAUGAAGAACGCAGCGAAAUGCGAUAAGUAAUGUGAAUUGCAGAAUUCAGUGAAUCAUCGAAUCUUUGAACGCACAUUGCGCCCCUUGGUAUUCCGAGGGGCAUGCCUGUUCGAGCGUCAUUAUAACCCCUCAAGCUCAGCUUGGUGUUGGGGCCUGCUGCACUGGCAGCCCUUAAAAUCAGUAGCGGCGCCAUCUGGCUCUAAGCGUAGUAAUUCUUCUCGCUAUGGAGUCCUGGUGGAUGCUUGCCAUCAACCCCCAAUUUUUCUAUGGUUGACCUCGGAUCAGGUAGGGAUACCCGCUGAACUUAAGCAUAUCAAUAAGCGGAGGA
RNAcentral lists this unclassified non-coding RNA (329 nucleotides) under soil metagenome. RNAcentral describes it as "partial contains 5.8S ribosomal RNA, internal transcribed spacer 2, and large subunit ribosomal RNA". The stretch from base 1 to 120 matches the Rfam family "5.8S ribosomal RNA", at positions 35 to 154 of the family's 154-position model. The record is from RNAcentral.